AUACAUGCAGUCGACGAACUCUGGUAUUGAUUGGUGCUUGCAUCAUGAUUUACAUUUGAGUGAGUGGCGAACUGGUGAGUAACACGUGGGAAACCUGCCCAGAAGCGGGGGAUAACACCUGGAAACAGAUGCUAAUACCGCAUAACAACUUGGACCGCAUGGUCCGAGUUUGAAAGAUGGCUUCGGCUAUCACUUUUGGAUGGUCCCGCGGCGUAUUAGCUAGAUGGUGGGGUAACGGCUCACCAUGGCAAUGAUACGUAGCCGACCUGAGAGGGUAAUCGGCCACAUUGGGACUGAGACACGGCCCAAACUCCUACGGGAGGCAGCAGUAGGGAAUCUUCCACAAUGGACGAAAGUCUGAUGGAGCAACGCCGCGUGAGUGAAGAAGGGUUUCGGCUCGUAAAACUCUGUUGUUAAAGAAGAACAUAUCUGAGAGUAACUGUUCAGGUAUUGACGGUAUUUAACCAGAAAGCCACGGCUAACUACGUGCCAGCAGCCGCGGUAAUACGUAGGUGGCAAGCGUUGUCCGGAUUUAUUGGGCGUAAAGCGAGCGCAGGCGUUUUUUAAAGUCUGAUGUGAAAGCCUUCGGCUCAACCGAAGAAGUGCAUCGGAAACUGGGAAACUUGAGUGCAGAAGAGGACAGUGGAACUCCAUGUGUAGCGGUGAAAUGCGUAGAUAUAUGGAAGAACACCAGUGGCGAAGGCGGCUGUCUGGUCUGUAACUGACGCUGAGGCUCGAAAGUAUGGGUAGCAAACAGGAUUAGAUACCCUGGUAGUCCAUACCGUAAACGAUGAAUGCUAAGUGUUGGAGGGUUUCCGCCCUUCAGUGCUGCAGCUAACGCAUUAAGCAUUCCGCCUGGGGAGUACGGCCGCAAGGCUGAAACUCAAAGGAAUUGACGGGGGCCCGCACAAGCGGUGGAGCAUGUGGUUUAAUUCGAAGCUACGCGAAGAACCUUACCAGGUCUUGACAUACUAUGCAAAUCUAAGAGAUUAGACGUUCCCUUCGGGGACAUGGAUACAGGUGGUGCAUGGUUGUCGUCAGCUCGUGUCGUGAGAUGUUGGGUUAAGUCCCGCAACGAGCGCAACCCUUAUUAUCAGUUGCCAGCAUUAAGUUGGGCACUCUGGUGAGACUGCCGGUGACAAACCGGAGGAAGGUGGGGAUGACGUCAAAUCAUCAUGCCCCUUAUGACCUGGGCUACACACGUGCUACAAUGGAUGGUACAACGAGUUGCGAACUCGCGAGAGUAAGCUAAUCUCUUAAAGCCAUUCUCAGUUCGGAUUGUAGGCUGCAACUCGCCUACAUGAAGUCGGAAUCGCUAGUAAUCGCGGAUCAGCAUGCCGCGGUGAAUACGUUCCCGGGCCUUGUACACACCGCCCGUCACACCAUGAGAGUUUGUAACACCCAAAGUCGGUGGGGUAACCUUUUAGGAACCAGCCGCCUAAGGUGGGACAGAUGAUUAGGGUGAAGUCGUAACAA
This 1476-nucleotide ribosomal RNA is filed under the name Lactiplantibacillus pentosus. Its description in RNAcentral is "bacterial SSU rRNA". It matches the Rfam family "Bacterial small subunit ribosomal RNA". The record is from RNAcentral. Lineage: Bacteria; Bacillati; Bacillota; Bacilli; Lactobacillales; Lactobacillaceae.